CCAUUGCGAAUGUAUAUCACUAAUAUUGUAACAUAACAAAGAUUCUAAAAAUUUGGAAACAAAAUCUUUAAAAAAAAUGAUAGCACCCAAUAUUAUCUCUUAGCAGAAUAAAGGUCUCCCCUCAUGAAAUCAUCACCAGGGAGUCUUCAGGUGGCAUGUCAUAGUCUUGAAACUUUGAAUUCACUGCAACAACAGAGCAACCAAAGAUAGCAAUAUGGAAGAACACACCAACACUCCGGAAACCAGCAAAGUAAACCCUGCUCCGGCGUCCAUUGCUGGAGAAGGAGCGAUAUCUUGUGCUAUGUUUCCGGAUACGUAAAACAGUGCCACAAUUAGAGAUGGCAAAUGAGUCGGGCCGGGUCGGGUCAGUUUUUGCUCGUCCCAAAUUCGAUCGAAUUUUAAACAUCUGAUAAUUUUUUUAUUAUUUUUAUACACGAAUUCAAUCCGAUCCGACAUUGUAUAAAAUCAUAUCUUAUCCGAAAUUAAUAAAAUAUUAUUUUU
This 501-nucleotide long non-coding RNA is filed under the name Durio zibethinus. Its description in RNAcentral is "long non-coding RNA (DZIB_LNC002346)". Lineage: Eukaryota; Viridiplantae; Streptophyta; Magnoliopsida; Malvales; Malvaceae. The record is from RNAcentral.